Molecule: non-coding RNA, 1325 nt
Organism: Labrus bergylta (ballan wrasse)
Lineage: Eukaryota; Metazoa; Chordata; Actinopteri; Labriformes; Labridae
Source: the annotation of a RefSeq genome assembly
AGCUUUCUAUCAUGAGAUCAUCAAUGAAACUAGCAAAAGAACAGAGAGCUCAGUUCAUCCCCAGUGCUCGAUCAACAAAGUGAAUUCAUUUAUUUCCUCCUCAGGGGACCAAGAAGGUCUGUACCACACUUCAAACCAGUCCAUUCAUCCAUCCUUCAGCUCCAGUUCAAACAUUGUGGACUUAACAAAUGAAACAACAGACAUCACCGUUAAAGGAGAAACAUUCUGAGAGGAAGAAAAAGAGGAAGAGACGCUGAAGUAGAAAUGUGUUUGAGGUUUGAUCCUGGUUCAUGAUUUGUGUAGUUCACCAGCAGACAGGUUUUUGUAUCACGUCUUUUCACUGUGGAGGGGUGAUAUGAUCUUUGGCUCUGGAACUAGACUCUUUGUUUCAGACGAGGAGCAGGUGGUGAAGCCCGUGGUGAGCGUGUACCCGGCAGCAUCCAGAGGCCGGCUGGAGGAGAAGAGCUCCCUGCUGUGUUUGGCCUCAGCCAUGUUUCCUCCUGUGGUCAGAAUCUCCUGGAGACGACAAACGGAGAGCGGAUGUUUAGAGGAGCUGCCCUCUGCUGACGGACAGCAGCUGGAGCUCAGAGAGUCUGGAUGUACUGCCUCCGUCUUACAGAUCUAUCAGACAAAGUUCAGCUAUGAAUACAGCUGCUACGUGCAGCACGAGGGGGGAACAGUGGAGGCUCUGAUAGAUACAGCGGAUCCCUCUGUCCCGUCUCCAUACAAGGUGAAGCUGCUCUUGCUGCUCUACACAGUGCUGACAGUGAAGAGUCUGGUGUACUGCUGUGGACUCUUCCUGCUGACCGUCCUCAGAAACAUCUCAUAAAUGUAUCUCCUUUAUCGCUUAGAUGAAUUUAAAAAUGUCAAUCAUGACUAUAUAUAUGCAAUUAUGAUCAAACAACAUUUUGCAGCAGUGUAAAACAAAUCCUAUAUUAUAUACAGUAAAUGUUAUUGUUUUGUAUAAUACUUUAGCAAAUGAUGCGCAAUGUUUAGAGCUAUUAGCGGCUAAGAUGCUUUCUUAAUUAAUCAGGCCCUCAGUCUCUCGUAACAAGCUCUCUUUAUAGUUUCACACACCACAGAGAAUAAAAUGUACAGGAAGAUAUGAAUACAAGCACACACAUUGACCAGGAACAAAAAGCUCACAAAGAAAAGUAAACUUGUAAAAAUUCAGUGUGUUGAUUUGUCUGCAGGUUUACUGUUGACCCUUUAAACGGUGGUGUCAGUGUUUUAUGUAGCGCUCUACGCUGAUGAUAUUCUUGUUUACAUGUAGAAACAAAACAUGACCAAGCAGCUUCAUCGGUGGAGAGCUGAAGCUGAAAGAU